UACGUAGGGUGCGAGCGUUGUCCGGAAUUAUUGGGCGUAAAGGGCUCGUAGGCGGUUUGUCGCGUCGGGAGUGAAAUCCACUGGCUUAACUGGUGGCUUGCUUUCGAUACGGGCAGACUGGAGGUAUGCAGGGGAGAACGGAAUUCCUGGUGUAGCGGUGAAAUGCGGCAGAUAUCAGGAGGAACACCGGUGGCGAAGGCGGUUCUCUGGGCAUUAACUGACGCUGAGGAGCGAAAGCAUGGGGAGCGAACAGGAUUAGAUACCGUUG
RNAcentral lists this ribosomal RNA (268 nucleotides) under uncultured bacterium. RNAcentral describes it as "partial 16S ribosomal RNA". It matches the Rfam family "Bacterial small subunit ribosomal RNA", at positions 524 to 790 of the family's 1533-position model. The record is from RNAcentral.